Long non-coding RNA from Helianthus annuus (common sunflower), 1902 nucleotides. RefSeq lists it as uncharacterized. The record is from RefSeq and is a predicted model, not a curated record. The transcript is spliced from 4 exons. Lineage: Eukaryota; Viridiplantae; Streptophyta; Magnoliopsida; Asterales; Asteraceae.
ACUCCCUCUGACACCAAAAGCUUCCAAAAACCUAUCGCUAAGUAUUCCUUUCUCUAUACAAUUUCAAAUUUUGAAUUAGAAAUCAAAUCUGGCCACCCAUUUUCUCUCAAGAAACCAUUAAUCCUUCUCAGAGACAAAAUUCAGAUCUAUCUAGAGUAAUCCGCUCAACCAUUUAUACUUCUCAUAGACAAAAAUCCAGAUCCAUCAAGAGUAAUCCGCACACUUCCUCCCAUAUCUGUUGAGCUGCUUGAAAUUUCCGCCGCUGAUACUCCGGCGACCGGCGUUGUUGCUCGCUUCGCCGUUAGGUCUCACCAGGAGUUUUAUUUCAUCACCUAGCAGAAAAAAGAUAAAACACAGGAAAAAACCCUAUAGAAAAAAGUCGGAUGCAUGAGGGUAGCCAUGAAAGAACUGUUAUAUAAUGCUGGUGUCGAUAUAAGUUUCAAUGUGCCUGUAAAGAAGAGCCUGUACAUGAUGAGAGGAAAUCGUUUUUUUGUUAAUGUGGAGUGGUUUCUCUUCUCUACAGCCCUACUGGUUUUGACUUUGUAAAAGAACAGUUGCCUUUUCUACAACCCGUUUGAACCACAUUAAACACUACACAUUUAACCCGAAGUGGUUCUGACCCGUCACUUAACCAACCUUUUUUUUAAAAGCCAAAGGAGACCAUAUUAUUCCAACCAAACACCAACGCUGUAAAUUUAUCAACUGUAUGUUUUUAUAUGUUUCGAGGUCAUGCAAUUUAUGUGACUGAUUUCAUUUUGUCUGGUUUGUGGCCCGGUUCUGUCCAAAACUAGAACCUUGCUGAUUUUUUUUUUGUAUUUUUCAGAUUUGAUAUGAUGUUUUAUAUGUGCUGGUACAUUUGUUUUGUUUUUUAGUGGCAUUGGCUUGAAAAGGUUUGAGCUUCUAUCGGGGAGUAUAAUGGGAUUGUUUGAAUGGUCUGCUACCUUUGUGAAGAGAUGCAGGAAGAUUGUGAGUUAGUAGAUUAUGAGUAAGUAUGAGACUGAGAGUAUUCAUUCACCAGUUCUAUAUAGUUGAUUUUGAGCGAGGGUAUUACUUCUACUAUUCCAAAUACUUGACCAAAUACUUGAUUGUGAGUGAGUGUUGCAUUCCAUCUGUUCUAUAUGAUUGAUUUUGAGAGAGAGUUUUACUCCAUCCGUUCUAAAUUACAGGAGCACUUUCCUGGUCUAAUCAUUUAAGUACAUAGGAAAGUGCUUUUAUAAUUUGGAAGGGGAGGAGUAUUAAUUGAAGGGGAGACUCGAAGUUGAAAGAGGAGGCACUGGUAAUGUUUAGAAACAGGGAGACCGGAGACGGUUAUUCGCCUGAAUCAAAGCAGACGGUGUAAUAUUAAGUUUUUUGAUUUGAUUGAAUGCGGCUCUAAAAGUGUGGAAUGAAACUUGAAUGUUAUCAACAAUAUGAAGGUUGUUAUAGUUGGCAUUUGUAAGUUAGGGUGUACUAUUUUUCUGGUAAAGCUAAUAUUCAUGUUAUAUUUUUUCAAGUCAACAGCUUUUUGAUAAAAAAAUCAUUGCAACAACAAUGUUUUGUUUGUUUUUAUAAUGUCAGCUAUUGUUGAUACAGGUUUGGAUAUGAUUACCCUGGUGGUUAUGAUCGUGAUAUGGGUGGCAGGCCUGGCUUCCCCGAUGACAGGCUUCGUGGUAGGUAUGGCGGUCGUGGGUACCAAGGUGGUCUGUCUGUGUUUUUUGUUGUUUCCAAAAAAUCCAGCUUCUAUAAAAGACUUCAAAAGUGGAAAUUGAUCCCUUCCAUCCCGACACGGGCGCUACCUCACCGCCUCAGCCAUGUUCCGUGGUAAAAUAAGCACAAAGGAAGUGGAACCGUCUAUGACAUUCCACCGACUGGUCUGAAAAUGGCGUCCACGUUUAUUGGAAACUCAACGUCGAUCAGGAAAUG